RNAcentral lists this ribosomal RNA (1541 nucleotides) under Escherichia coli. RNAcentral describes it as "bacterial SSU rRNA". It matches the Rfam family "Bacterial small subunit ribosomal RNA". Lineage: Bacteria; Pseudomonadati; Pseudomonadota; Gammaproteobacteria; Enterobacterales; Enterobacteriaceae. The record is from RNAcentral.
AAUUGAAGAGUUUGAUCAUGGCUCAGAUUGAACGCUGGCGGCAGGCCUAACACAUGCAAGUCGAACGGUAACAGGAAGCAGCUUGCUGCUUCGCUGACGAGUGGCGGACGGGUGAGUAAUGUCUGGGAAACUGCCUGAUGGAGGGGGAUAACUACUGGAAACGGUAGCUAAUACCGCAUAAUGUCGCAAGACCAAAGAGGGGGACCUUCGGGCCUCUUGCCAUCGGAUGUGCCCAGAUGGGAUUAGCUUGUUGGUGGGGUAACGGCUCACCAAGGCGACGAUCCCUAGCUGGUCUGAGAGGAUGACCAGCCACACUGGAACUGAGACACGGUCCAGACUCCUACGGGAGGCAGCAGUGGGGAAUAUUGCACAAUGGGCGCAAGCCUGAUGCAGCCAUGCCGCGUGUAUGAAGAAGGCCUUCGGGUUGUAAAGUACUUUCAGCGGGGAGGAAGGGAGUAAAGUUAAUACCUUUGCUCAUUGACGUUACCCGCAGAAGAAGCACCGGCUAACUCCGUGCCAGCAGCCGCGGUAAUACGGAGGGUGCAAGCGUUAAUCGGAAUUACUGGGCGUAAAGCGCACGCAGGCGGUUUGUUAAGUCAGAUGUGAAAUCCCCGGGCUCAACCUGGGAACUGCAUCUGAUACUGGCAAGCUUGAGUCUCGUAGAGGGGGGUAGAAUUCCAGGUGUAGCGGUGAAAUGCGUAGAGAUCUGGAGGAAUACCGGUGGCGAAGGCGGCCCCCUGGACGAAGACUGACGCUCAGGUGCGAAAGCGUGGGGAGCAAACAGGAUUAGAUACCCUGGUAGUCCACGCCGUAAACGAUGUCGACUUGGAGGUUGUGCCCUUGAGGCGUGGCUUCCGGAGCUAACGCGUUAAGUCGACCGCCUGGGGAGUACGGCCGCAAGGUUAAAACUCAAAUGAAUUGACGGGGGCCCGCACAAGCGGUGGAGCAUGUGGUUUAAUUCGAUGCAACGCGAAGAACCUUACCUGGUCUUGACAUCCACGGAAGUUUUCAGAGAUGAGAAUGUGCCUUCGGGAACCGUGAGACAGGUGCUGCAUGGCUGUCGUCAGCUCGUGUUGUGAAAUGUUGGGUUAAGUCCCGCAACGAGCGCAACCCUUAUCCUUUGUUGCCAGCGGUCCGGCCGGGAACUCAAAGGAGACUGCCAGUGAUAAACUGGAGGAAGGUGGGGAUGACGUCAAGUCAUCAUGGCCCUUACGACCAGGGCUACACACGUGCUACAAUGGCGCAUACAAAGAGAAGCGACCUCGCGAGAGCAAGCGGACCUCAUAAAGUGCGUCGUAGUCCGGAUUGGAGUCUGCAACUCGACUCCAUGAAGUCGGAAUCGCUAGUAAUCGUGGAUCAGAAUGCCACGGUGAAUACGUUCCCGGGCCUUGUACACACCGCCCGUCACACCAUGGGAGUGGGUUGCAAAAGAAGUAGGUAGCUUAACCUUCGGGAGGGCGCUUACCACUUUGUGAUUCAUGACUGGGGUGAAGUCGUAACAAGGUAACCGUAGGGGAACCUGCGGUUGGAUCACCUCCUUA